RNAcentral lists this ribosomal RNA (867 nucleotides) under uncultured archaeon. Its description in RNAcentral is "bacterial SSU rRNA". It matches the Rfam family "Archaeal small subunit ribosomal RNA", at positions 1 to 878 of the family's 1478-position model. The record is from RNAcentral.
CUCCGGUUGAUCCCGCCGGACCCGACUGCUAUCAGAGUGGGACUAAGCCAUGCGAGUCAACAUAGCAAUAUGUGGCAUACGGCUCAGUAACACGUAGUCAACAUGCCCAGGGGACGUGGAUAACCUCGGGAAACUGAGGAUAAACCGCGAUAGGUCAUCACUUCUGGAAUGGGUAAUGACUUAAAUCUAUAUGGCCCCUGGAUUGGACUGCGGCCGAUCAGGCUGUUGGUGAGGUAAUGGCCCACCAAACCUGUAACCGGUACGGGCUCUGAGAGGAGGAGCCCGGAGAUGGGCACUGAGACAAGGGCCCAGGCCCUAUGGGGCGCAGCAGGCGCGAAACCUCUGCAAUAGGCGAAAGCUUGACAGGGUUACUCUGAGUGAUUUCCGUUAAGGAGAUCUUUUGGCACCUCUAAAAAUGGUGCAGAAUAAGGGGUGGGCAAGUCUGGUGUCAGCCGCCGCGGUAAUACCAGCACCCCGAGUGGUCGGGACGUUUAUUGGGCCUAAAGCAUCCGUAGCCGGUUCUACAAGUCUUCCGUUAAAUCCACCUGCUUAACAGAUGGGCUGCGGAAGAUACUAUAGAGCUAGGAGGCGGGAGAGGCAAGCGGUACUCGAUGGGUAGGGGUAAAAUCCGUUGAUCCAUUGAAGACCACCAGUGGCGAAGGCGGCUUGCCAGAACGCGCUCGAUGGUGAGGGAUGAAAGCUGGGGGAGCAAACCGGAUUAGAUACCCGGGUAGUCCCAGCUGUAAACGAUGCAGACUCGGUGAUGAGUUGGCUUAUUGCUAACUCAGUGCCGCAGGGAAGCCGUUAAGUUUGCCGCCUGGGGAGUACGGUCGCAAGACUGAAACUUAAAGGAUUGGCGGGGGAGCA